UAGUGUAUAGUAGAUAUAUCAUUUAGCUGAAUAUAGGCAGCCUAAGGUUUUGAGACCUUGCUUGUUGCAUUAUAUUCCUGUUAAAUGAUAAAAAAUUUUUUAAGCACGGCUUUGUGCGGAAAGUAUUAGGAGGAAAUCGAAAUAUGCAACAAAAUGGUAAAGUAAAAUGGUUUAACAAUGAAAAAGGUUAUGGUUUUAUUGAAGUUGAAGGCGGAGACGAUGUUUUUGUCCACUUCACUGCAAUUCAAGGCGAAGGUUUCAAAACCUUAGAAGAAGGUCAAGCGGUAUCUUUUGAAAUUGUCCAAGGAAAUCGUGGACCACAAGCAGCGAACGUUGUAAAAUUAUAAUCGAUGAUCAUUUGAUCUUCAAAUAUAAAAAGAGGCUUUUGCCUCUUUUUAUUUU
This 402-nucleotide small RNA is filed under the name Aeribacillus pallidus. RNAcentral's name for it is "cspA thermoregulator". It matches the Rfam family "cspA thermoregulator". The record is from Rfam by way of RNAcentral. Lineage: Bacteria; Bacillati; Bacillota; Bacilli; Caryophanales; Bacillaceae.